Long non-coding RNA from Brassica rapa (field mustard), 1725 nucleotides. RefSeq lists it as uncharacterized. The record is from RefSeq and is a predicted model, not a curated record. Lineage: Eukaryota; Viridiplantae; Streptophyta; Magnoliopsida; Brassicales; Brassicaceae.
CUUCUAGAGGAUAUUGAUUUUAAGUUUUUAACUACUAUUCUUGGAUAACGUGGUACAUUUUAAAAAAUCAAAAUGCAAAUAUUUAUACUAAUAUAAAUAUAAACCCCCAGAAAAUCACGUGUACAAGUAAAGGUAACUAUGGGGGCUUAUGUACAACUAACUGAGCUGAAAACUCCGAGGGAUGGUGUUGUGGCGGAAUCCGAUAACCAAGGACAAGUGGACGAUGGGAUGGUUCCCCUUUAUAAGAGAAGUAAAUCAUAAGAUUAUGGGGUUAAUGACUAUCAGACGGAGUUUAUCACUUGUACAUGCCAAAUGUGAAAGUUUGAUAUGGGAAAUGGAGUGAUGUUCAUGCAGUCAAGGGAGGUUUUGCAACAUAUUGUUUUCAUUUAUUGAAGAUAGCGUCUGCACCAACAUAAUGACCAAUUCUUGUGUUUUUUUUGGGGAAAAAUUCAACGUUGUAAGACGUUUUUUUUUUUACAUUCCAAAAACAGAAAAUAUUAUGGUUGAAAAACUUACAUGAGGUACUCGAAAAUCUCUUUCAGUUAUGCAAUAUGCUGGUUCUUCUUCAGAUUGGGUUUCCUGAAUUGGUGUCUUCUAUAGAUUACUUUUGAUUUCCUGUUUAUUGUUGUCAAAAAUUAUAAGAAAAAAAAAUCCCAACUGUCUUCACUCUUUAUAAAUUCCAAAGUACCCCAAAUGGAUUUUGAGUGCCCUUCAUAGGAUUGUAUUCAUUCAUUGCAUGUUCUAGUAGUAAUUAUAUUUCUCUUGUCAAAAGAUCCAACGACUUGUCUUUACAAAUUUACAUAUUAACAAAAGAGACUCUUUACAAAAUAUAUGCAAAUAAAAGUAAUAAAGAGUGAAAAAACUUAAACAUUCUCUUGUACUAGGGGCAUUGCCUCCGCACAAGCACGGAGUUGUGUACAGAGUUCUUAUUUCAUCUCAAUAUUUGUUAGGGUUAUUGUAGUUAUGAAUUUUGUGUGUUUGGAUUGAUCAUUGUUUUUCAAGUUUUUUAUUGUUAUAGGGUUAGAGUUGUGAUGAUGAACUGUGUAGGCAUUGUUCUCAAGUUAUGAAGGAUUAAACUAGGUUAAUAAUGUGAUUGAUAUAGUUCAUGGUGUUGUUUGUUGUGUCACUGAGACUUAUUGUUUGUUUGUCUUUUUAAUUUGUUUCUUCACUAUUGAGAGUACAUAAAUUAUAUUAAGGUUGUUGAGAGUACUUUUGUUUCUAGAUAUUUUUUCUCCAGUUUAGUUGUGUAAGUUUUGUGUUCUUUAGUAAUAAUUUUUAUUAUCCUUAUUAUGUUUGUUAUAAGUUUUUUUUAUUUUUAAACUUGGUGCUUUUAACAGACCUUUAAAACAAAUACAUGAAGACUUGUAGAAAAUAACUAUAAAAUGAGUGACAAUUCUGAGUAUUUGGGCAUCAAUGGAUUUUAAACGAAUUUAUGUAUUUUUCAUAAGAAGACAACUAGAUUUUGAUCCGCGCUUCAAAAGCGCGGGUUUUUUUCCGAUUAAGAAUAUUGUUUGAUAUGAAUUAUUAUUUUGGUUUUGAUGUUUUGAAGUAUAUUAUUAAGUUAUAAAGUGUUAUUAUAUCGAAAAAGUAAUAGAAUUUUAGUUUAAAAUUAUAUAAUUUAUCAAAUAGUUUAUUUUAGAUUUUAUAUGUGUAUAAAUACUAUUAAAAAGGAAGGAGUCUAAAAGUAUCUACCUAUAAAAAUUGUUUGGACCCUUUCAUUUAACU